CACCUGAAUUUCCCUCCGGGGAUUAAUAAAGAUUCAUCUUAUCUUAUCUUAACUUCAUCUAGAGACUAUUAUUAGCACAAAACCAUCUCAUUACCAAGAAACCUGCUGUGUUCAACGUGAUGCUUCUGACAUCAGCAUACCAGCAGACACGCAAUCGUGCGUCGUGCUUCUAUUUUUUGCCCUUAAAAAAAAGCUAUUUUUGAAACAGGGGGUUGCAUCGACGUGCUUUAAGACUCUGGCUGACAGGGAAGACAUUAUAAGUAUAGCUACAGAGACCUGAAAGCUUGAAGUACUUUCAUGUUCCUCCUUCAGAGCUGCUCCCAUCGCGUCAAUGCGCAAUUGCGCAGCCAGGAAACCCUGAGCUGCAUGAGCCCAGAGGCAAAAAGGGGGGCUUGGGAACUACUGCAGAGAAAAAAUCCUCCUGCUGUGAUCCCAUGAAAAGGACUUCCAAAUGUCUUCAUUAUAAUCAGACGAGCAUCCUCUCUCUAGGAAUUCCCUGCGACUUAAUAGCUGAAGCUGCUGUUGGAUGGGCUAGUAUUGACAUUUGGAGUCCGGUGGAGUGAAAGGAAAGCAUGACAAGCAUGCAUUGGACUCAUAUAUGUUGUGACUGCAACUCACGAUGAUAGCUCGCAUCAUCAGGAGGACUGUGGAUGCACUCAUCAUCAAAAGUCUGGAUAUUUUUAGAGGAAGCGAUCAUGGACGCAUCGGACGUAGUUGCAUCCGUUUUGGUGUUGGGCAUCAUCAUUGUGUCGCUGCUGUCCAACGUGGUGGUGCUGAUCUGCUUUCUGUACAACCCGGAGAUCCGCAGACAGGUACCCGGUCUGUUUAUCCUCAACUUGACGCUUUGCAACCUGUUGCUGAGCGUGUCCAACAUGCCUCUAACUCUGGUCGGACUCAUCACCACCAUGGGCCACCCAGGAGGAGGAUUGUGCCAGAUCGUGGGUUUCCUGGACACUUUUCUCACCACUAACGCGAUGCUCAGCAUGGCAGCUCUCAGCAUCGACAGAUGGGUGGCUGUGGUGUUCCCCCUGAGCUACCACUCGAGGAUCCGGCACCGGGACGCGGUGAUGGCGCUGAUGUAUACCUGGAUCCACUCGCUCUGCUUCUCCACGGUGGCCACCUGGCGCUCCUGGGUCGGCUACCAUCACCUUUACGCAUCGUGCACAUUGUGUAAUGGCAGGGCGAAGGGAGCUGGGAUGCAGUUCGUGGUCUUCAACGUGGCUCUGCACUCUCUCACUUUCCUCCUCACGCUGGUCGUGUUGUGCGUAACGUACUUGAAAGUGCUGAAAGUUGCGAGGUUUCACUGUAAGCGCAUCGACGUGAUCACCAUGCAGACGCUGGUGCUGCUCGUGGAUAUUCACCCCAGUGUGCGGCAGAAAUGCUUGGAUGAGCAGAAGCGGAGGAGGCAGAGGGCCACCAAGAAGAUCAGCACUUUCAUCGGCACAUUCGUGGUGUGCUUCAGCCCUUAUGUCAUUACAAGAAUUGUAGAGCUCUUCUCCCCAUGGCCCAUAAGCCCUCACUGGGGUGUGCUGUCCAAAUGUUUGGCCUACAGCAAGGCAGCCAGCGACCCGUUUGUCUACUCGCUGCUGCGCAACCAGUACAGGAAGACCUGCAACCUCCUGGCGAACAAAGUCCUCAAGAGGAGUCCACUCAACUCCUCAUCCCUCAGGAUGGAGAACGGUGCUGGGAGGAGCAGCACCUCCAACACAACCAACAAUGUGCAACCAGCUGCCAACAAGCCACAGUGAAGGUCAUCACUUUAAGAGACAAUUAGGGUACUUGACCGUUACUUUUACUGUUUCUUUGAGGUUAACGUGACAGUAGAUUGAGCUCUGUGUGAUUCGACUGUUAUCAAGCCAUUAAAUAGGCAUUAUCAGUCGCUAUAAGCACCAUAGAUGUGUCAUAAGGGGCCUACUACGCCUACUAUGUUGUGAAAGUGAAAGCGAAACUUAAAAGCAACACGUUCAUGUUGUAAAACUUAAUGAAAUGUCACCUUUUGAACACGAACAAAAAGGCUUCUUUAGGUUUAGGCAACAAAACUACAACUACUUUAGGUUUAGGCAAAAAAAAAAAACUUUUUAGGUUUGGGCAACAAAAC
Molecule: RNA transcript, 2098 nt
Organism: Sebastes umbrosus (honeycomb rockfish)
Lineage: Eukaryota; Metazoa; Chordata; Actinopteri; Perciformes; Sebastidae
Gene name: G-protein coupled receptor 26-like
Exons: 4
Source: RefSeq, a predicted model, not a curated record